CUCAUUUGAAAUUUCAUAAAUAAAAAGAAAAUUUCUUCAAACAUUUUUUUUGAGAGGAUUAAUAUUCAACAGCAUAGUGAAUUGCUCUAAGAGAAAACAAAAAUUUUAAGUUCAUUAGAACACACUCAUUCUGUGUCAGAAACCUAUGCUGUGUCAACUAUUUAAUCACAAUCCAAAUUUAGAGCUGAAUCCAGCUUGAAUGUUGUGUCCAUACUUGCCCCAACCGUUCAGGGUUCAACCUCUGCGGUCGUAUAAAGCUAUGCCCUGCGGAGCAUCUGGUUUUAUAAUCUUUA
This 293-nucleotide long non-coding RNA is filed under the name Mytilus galloprovincialis (Mediterranean mussel). The record is from RNAcentral. Lineage: Eukaryota; Metazoa; Mollusca; Bivalvia; Mytilida; Mytilidae.